RNAcentral lists this ribosomal RNA (583 nucleotides) under uncultured Methylophilus sp. Its description in RNAcentral is "bacterial SSU rRNA". It matches the Rfam family "Bacterial small subunit ribosomal RNA", at positions 338 to 916 of the family's 1533-position model. The record is from RNAcentral. Lineage: Bacteria; Pseudomonadati; Pseudomonadota; Betaproteobacteria; Nitrosomonadales; Methylophilaceae.
CCUACGGGAGGCAGCAGUGGGGAAUUUUGGACAAUGGGCGCAAGCCUGAUCCAGCCAUUCCGCGUGAGUGAAGAAGGCCUUCGGGUUGUAAAGCUCUUUCGCAAGGGAAGAAAACUUACUUUCUAAUAAAGAGUGAGGUUGACGGUACCUUGAUAAGAAGCACCGGCUAACUACGUGCCAGCAGCCGCGGUAAUACGUAGGGUGCGUGCGUUAAUCGGAAUUACUGGGCGUAAAGCGUGCGCAGGCGGUUUUGUAAGUCAGAUGUGAAAUCCCCGAGCUCAACUUGGGAACUGCGUUUGAAACUACAAGACUAGAAUAUGUCAGAGGGGUAGAAUUCCACGUGUAGCAGUGAAAUGCGUAGAGAUGUGGAGGAAUACCAAUGGCGAAGGCAGCCCCCUGGGAUAAUAUUGACGCUCAUGCACGAAAGCGUGGGGAGCAAACAGGAUUAGAUACCCUGGUAGUCCACGCCGUAAACGAUGAUUGCUAGUUGUCGGGAAGCUUGCUUCUCGGUGUCGCAGCUAACGCGGUAAGCACACCGCCUGGGGAGUACGGUCGCAAGAUUAAAACUCAAAGGAAUUGACGG